Molecule: ribosomal RNA, 252 nt
Filed under: uncultured bacterium
Lineage: Bacteria
Description: partial 16S ribosomal RNA
Rfam family: Bacterial small subunit ribosomal RNA
Source: RNAcentral
GCAAGUCGAGCGGUAACACAAGGCAUCCUGCUCCUGAGGUCACGAGCGGCGGACGGGUGAGUAAUGCCUAGGUAUCUGCCCAGUCGAGGGGGAUAACAGUUGGAAACGACUGCUAAUACCGCAUACGCCCUACGGGAGAAAGGAGGGGACCUUCGGGCCUUGCGCGAUUGGAUGAACCUAGGUGGGAUUAGCUAGUAGGUGAGGUAAUGGCUCACCUAGGCAACGAUCCCUAGCUGGUCUGAGAGGAUGAUC